Molecule: transfer RNA, 78 nt
Filed under: Clostridiales bacterium
Lineage: Bacteria; Bacillati; Bacillota; Clostridia; Eubacteriales
Description: tRNA-Leu
Rfam family: tRNA
About the family: Transfer RNA (tRNA) molecules are approximately 80 nucleotides in length.
Source: RNAcentral
GCGGAAUUGGCAGACGCGCAAGAUUCAGGUUCUUGUGGUAGCAAUACUGUGUGGGUUCAAGUCCCGUUUUCCGCACCA